This 323-nucleotide ribosomal RNA is filed under the name Escherichia coli. RNAcentral describes it as "bacterial SSU rRNA". It matches the Rfam family "Bacterial small subunit ribosomal RNA", at positions 1 to 318 of the family's 1533-position model. Lineage: Bacteria; Pseudomonadati; Pseudomonadota; Gammaproteobacteria; Enterobacterales; Enterobacteriaceae. The record is from RNAcentral.
UUAAAUUGAAGAGUUUGAUCAUGGCUCAGAUUGAACGCUGGCGGCAGGCCUAACACAUGCAAGUCGAACGGUAACAGGAAACAGCUUGCUGUUUCGCUGACGAGUGGCGGACGGGUGAGUAAUGUCUGGGAAACUGCCUGAUGGAGGGGGAUAACUACUGGAAACGGUAGCUAAUACCGCAUAACGUCGCAAGACCAAAGAGGGGGACCUUCGGGCCUCUUGCCAUCGGAUGUGCCCAGAUGGGAUUAGCUUGUUGGUGGGGUAACGGCUCACCAAGGCGACGAUCCCUAGCUGGUCUGAGAGGAUGACCAGCCACACUGGAA